GAUGAACGCUAGCUACAGGCUUAACACAUGCAAGUCGAGGGGCAGCAUGAUUGAAGCUUGCUUCAAUCGAUGGCGACCGGCGCACGGGUGAGUAACACGUAUCCAACCUGCCGAUAACUCGGGGAUAGCCUUUCGAAAGAAAGAUUAAUACCCGAUAGUAUAGUAUUUCCGCAUGGUUUCACUAUUAAAGAACUUCGGUUAUCGAUGGGGAUGCGUUCCAUUAGAUAGUUGGCGGGGUAACGGCCCACCAAGUCAACGAUGGAUAGGGGUUCUGAGAGGAAGGUCCCCCACAUUGGAACUGAGACACGGUCCAAACUCCUACGGGAGGCAGCAGUGAGGAAUAUUGAUCAAUGGACGAGAGUCUGAACCAGCCAAGUAGCGUGAAGGAUGACUGCCCUAUGGGUUGUAAACUUCUUUUAGACGGGAAUAAAGUGGAGUAUGCAUACUCCUUUGUAUGUACCGUAUGAAUAAGGAUCGGCUAACUCCGUG
RNAcentral lists this ribosomal RNA (489 nucleotides) under uncultured bacterium. Its description in RNAcentral is "partial 16S ribosomal RNA". It matches the Rfam family "Bacterial small subunit ribosomal RNA", at positions 28 to 507 of the family's 1533-position model. The record is from RNAcentral.